Ficedula albicollis (Collared flycatcher) is the source of this 198-nucleotide long non-coding RNA. RefSeq lists it as uncharacterized. The transcript has 3 exons. The record is from RefSeq and is a predicted model, not a curated record. Lineage: Eukaryota; Metazoa; Chordata; Aves; Passeriformes; Muscicapidae.
CGACAUCGUGCCCGUGGUGCCCUGGCACGGCCGCGGCUCCAACGACACCUUCGGCCUUUACUGCUCCAGCUGCCUCCUCCUGAUCCGCCCGAACCGCGACAUCUGCUCCCAGUCCGGCGGGGGCACGAACGUGGCGGAGAAAAUCAUCUUCCUGCUCUACGUGCUGCUGGUGCUCGGCUGCUGCUCGGUGAGGCUCGG